AUGGAGAAAAUGCGAGAUGUCAAAGUGCUGCUCGAGCCAGUUGCCGCCGUGCGGGAUGGGCUUGGUUUGUCUGAUAGAGAGCUGGCUGCAGAUUCAGCCGGCUCUGGGGUGGGAACAAGUAGCAUUUUGGGAGAACUGAAUCUGUGCACACCCUUUUCACAAGGAUCAGGUGUGUUUCCAGCGCCGUCCAAGAAACGAUCGGCUGGGCGUCCAACAACCAGCCGCGACAAGGCUCCAUAUGAACAACCAUCGAAGAGGAGCAAAUUCUGUUCUAUAUGUAGAAUUCAAGGGCACAAGAGCACAACAUGCCCUGCCAGAGGGGAUGUGCCAAAGGCACCUAGGAAAUCUCCGCGCUGCUCAAAAUGUGGGUGA
This 372-nucleotide ribosomal RNA is filed under the name Triticum aestivum (bread wheat). Its description in RNAcentral is "partial small subunit ribosomal RNA". Lineage: Eukaryota; Viridiplantae; Streptophyta; Magnoliopsida; Poales; Poaceae. The record is from RNAcentral.